CCUUCCUGCCCCAUGUGGGCCUGAAGCGCGUGUCUGCUGUCUGUGCCAGUGCUCCUGCCGGGUCCCCUCAGGUGUGUCGUUUCCGUCGCGCUUCCGCCCUCUCGGCCAUGGGGGUCCCCAAGAGGAAGGCCUCGGGCGGCCAGGACGGCGCGGCUUCCUCCGCGGGUGCAGCCAAGCGCGCCCGCAAAGAAGAGCUCACGGGCGUGCGGUUCAAGGCUCAGCUGAAGGACCCGCAGGGCCCCGGGCCAGGCUUGGAAGCGUUUGUGUCUGCCGCCAAGAAGCUACCACGAGAAGAUGUGUAUGAUGUCGUGGAAGGGUAUAUAAAGAUUUCUGUUGAGUGUGUCGAAAUUUUCCAGCUCCUAAGUGGAGAGAAACGACCUGAAAGUGAAACGAUGUUAAUAUUUCAAGUUUUCGAGGCCAUAUUAUUGCGGACAGCAAGUGAUCUUUCACAUUUCCAUGUUGUGGGAACCAACAUUGUGAAAAAGCUGAUGAACAACCACAUGAAGCUCAUCUGUGAGUCCCUGUAUGCCUCAGGUUACAGGUUGGCUCGCGCCUGCCUGAGCCUGAUGACCGCCAUGGUGACCCAGGGUCCGGAAGCUGCCAGGGACGUCUGCAGCCAUUUUGAUUUGAAUAAAAAGACCUUGUACACCCUGGUGACCAAGAGGGAUUCAAAGGGAGUGUACGACGUUCGGCAGGCCUACGUUCAGUUUGCUCUCUCCUUUUUAAUUGCGGGUGAUGACAGCACUAUAGUGCAGGUGUUGGAAGUGAAAGAAUUUAUUCCUUGCAUUUUUAGCUCAGGGAUAAAGGAAGAUAGGAUCUCUACCAUCAAUAUUUUAUUAUCCACACUGAAAACAAAGGUAGUUCACAAUAAAAAUAUCACAAAAACCCAGAAGGUGCGUUUCUUUACGGGGCAGUUAUUGAACCACAUAGCAUCGCUGUACAACUGGAAUGGGAUUACCGAUGUGAACCCAGAAAAUGUCAAGGUUUCUGCUGAAGAAGCAGGGAAAACCAUGGUGCGGGAGCUUGUUCAUAACUUUCUGAUGGAUCUUUGCUGUUCACUCAAGCAUGGAAUUAAUUUUUACGAUGCAUCUUUGGGUACCUUUGGCAGAGGCGGAAACCUGACACUCUUGCACUUCUUGCUGGGUUUGAAAACUGCAGCUGAUGAUGAUCUGGUGGCUGACCUUGUGGUAAACAUCCUCAAAGUGUGCCCGGACUUACUGAACAAAUACUUCAAGGAAGUAACGUUUUCCUUUAUCCCACGAGCGAAGUCUACUUGGUUAAAUAAUAUCAAACUACUAAACAAGAUCUAUGAGGCUCAGCCGGAGAUUUCCCGGGCAUUUCAGACCAGAGAGUUUAUACCCUUGCCUCGGCUCCUGGCAAUGGUGAUGGUGACCACCGUGCCCCUGGUGUGCAAUAAGAGCAUGUUCACCCAAGCAUUAAACUUGGACAGCACCUCAGUGAGGCACACAGCCUUAUCCCUUAUUUCUGUCAUUUUGAAGAGGGCAUUAAAAACUGUUGACCACUGCCUGAAUAAAGAGGUGUGGCAGGAAUCAGGCGUGUACACAGCUGUGAUGAUGGAAGAAUUCGUGCAGCUGUUCAGAGAAGCCCUGAGCAAGAUUUUGCCAGACCUGAACACUGUCGUGUGGGUCUGGCAGUCACUUAAAAAGCAAGAGACCAAACAGGAUGACAAGAAAGGGAAGAAAAGGAGCGAUGGGCCCCCGGCUGCCUGCGAUGCUCGCCAGUGCGAUGAUGCAGAAACCAUUCUUUUGAAAGCUGUUUUGCUCCAGGUCAUAUGCCUCUACCAGAAGGUGGUCCCCCACGUGGUCAUGCAGUACAACUUUGACUUCAGCAAGCUCCUGAAAGGUGUCAUCUCUGAGCAGGGCCUUCGAGAGGAGGUGCCUCCCAUUCUGCAGCACCACAUGCUGAAGGUGGCCCUGGAGCUGCCGGCCAGCAAGUUUCUGUGGUUAAAGGCACAGGAAGGCCCAGAUGCAGAAAUUAUUGGAGGUGAACGAUCAGUAUUUUACUUACUAAUGAAAAUGUUUGUGACCAGUAGCCAUUUACAACUGAAGUCAUUGACCAAACUUCUGAUCAUGAAGAUUCUGCGGGACACGGGGGUGUUUGAGCACACCUGGAAGGAGCUGGAGCUCUGGCUGGAGCAUUUAGAGAACACCGUGGAAGAGGACAAAGAGACUGUGAUUCAGUUUCUGGAACGCAUUUUAUUGACAUUGGUGGCGAAUCCCUAUUCAUACACAGACAAAGCAUCUGACUUUGUCCAAGAAGCAAGCACGCUGCAGGCCACUAUGACGAAGCAAGAAGCUGAUGACAUGAGCAUUCCCAUCUCCCACAUUGACGAGGUUCUCGACAUGGUGGAUGUCCUGGUGGAGGGCAGUGAAGGCUUGGAUGAGGAAAUAGGGUUCACGUUGAGUGAAGACAUGAUCCUGCUCACGUUCCCAUUCAGUGCGGUGGUCCCUGCGGCCCUGGAAGCCAGGAAUAAGUUGCUCCUUGGGACAGGCAAUGAAGCAGUGGAAAACGUUGUGACAUAUCUGACGGCAGUGCUGACUGACCUCCUCCACACCCAGAGGGACCCCCUGGCUCUGUGUCUCCUGCUCCAGGCAUAUGAUAAGCUUGAGCCUCCAUGCCCGGUGCCUUGCUGCCAGCAGCUCUCACGGUUUAACAGAUACUACAGCCUCUGGAUCCCGGAGCAAGCCCGAGAGGCCUGGCUGCUGCAGGCACAGGGCAGCCCCUCGCCCCCUGCCCUUCCCUUGGCCUCCUCCUUCACAGCCCUGCUGCAGGCAGCCUACGAGAGCCAGGCGCUUCGGGACGAGCACAUCCAGGUGCAGCUGCAGGCCACCAUGCCACACCUGUCCAUGCAGCAGGUCCUGCUCGCGGCCAAGCAGGUGUUGCUCUACCUGCGGAGCACCGUGGAGAACUUCGGCCAGCUGGGCAGAAGUGUGGGCCCGCCUCUCCUGCAGCUCUUCCUGGAUCUCCUCAGGCGCCUGGUUGUCCACUGUGAGCAGCUGGAUGCCCAGAACCAGCAGAGAUGCGAGGCCGCCCGGGCCGAAGCCGACCUCUUCCUGGACAUGGAGUCCGUGGCCUCGCUGGAGUUGGCCAAUGAUCAGACGCUGGAGGAGGUGCUUGUGGCCAUCCUCAGGCACCCCACCCUGGAGGGCUGGUUCCUGGCCCUGGAGCAGCAGGCCCUCCCGCCGCACACGCUCAGCCCUGUCCUCGUGAAGCUCCUGGCCACCCACUUUAGUGCAGGGGUCCUUCAGCUGCUGGCAGCAAGUGCCCCGAUCCUCCGGAACAUUGGGCAGCUGGGCCUUCUGGCCAGGUACUCAGAGGCCAUCACCCAGAGUGUGCUGAAGGAACUUCAGAACAGGAGGGCGGGCCCGGCCACAUCACCACCAAAGACCCCGCCGCAGCUGGAGGCCCUGCAGGAGCUGCAUCCAUACAUGGAGGGUGCCCAGCUCCGUGAGGUCACCCUGGCCUUGCUGAGCCUGCCUGAGACACACCUGGUGACCCAGCAACCCACGAAAUCCCCCGGGAAAGAAAGACACCUGAAUGCUCUUGGAAAGACCCUGGUGCAGCUGCUGACCUGCAGCCCCCAGGAUCAGCUGCAGAGUGGUGAGCUCCUGUGGUCCUCCGAGUAUGUGAGAGGCCUGGGGGCUCUGCUGCCCACGCUAGCAGUGGACGAGCUGGACACAGUGCUCCUCCACACUCUGCAGAGAGACCCUGUGCUGGCCCCUGCAGUUGGGGCUGAUCUGCUUGACUACUGCCUGGCCCGGCGCACACAGGCGGCCCUCAGCAUCGCUGCCCUGCUCCUCCAGGAGAGCUGCACCCACCUGCUGUGGUUCGAGCAGUGGUGCCUGCAGGCUGGCCCAGGGCUCGGCCUCCAGGGGGACCUGGACGACUUCCUCCCCCUCAUCCAUGUGUACCUCCAGUGCAGGACACAGAGCCACUUCACACGCCCAGCAGGAGUGUCUUCCGCUGUCAUUCCUGUCUUGAGGAAGACCCUGUGGAGGCAGCUACAGAGCAGGCUUCUUAGCACUGACAGUCCCCCAGCAUCUGGGCUGUACCAGGAGAUCCUGGCACAGCUGGUCCCGUUUGCACGAGCCAAGGAUCUCAGUGUACUCAUGGACCGCCUGCCCAGCUUGCUUCACACCCCAAGCAGUCACAAGAGGUGGAUCGUGGCCGACUCCAUUUCAGCAGCUCUGGAAGGGUCAGCAGAAGAGCUGUGUGCCUGGAGAAGGACCCUUUUGGAGUCCUGUGUGAAGUGGCUGAUCGUGUCUUUCAGUGGUGGACAGCAAGAUGAUGAUAAUACUCAGAAUCAGGAGAAGGAAAUGCUGCUUAGAUUAAAUGCGUUGUUGCAUGCACUUAAUGAAGUUGAUCCUGGUGACUGGCAGAAAUUCGUGAAGACGGGACUCAAAUUUCGGUACCAGGACCACACAUUUUUAAAGACCCUCCUCACCGCCGUACAGCUCCUGUACAGCCCAGAAAGCUCCGUGCGCACAAAGCUCAUCCAGCUCCCGGUGGUCUACGUGAUGCUCAUGCAGCACUCGCUGUUUCUGCCGACUCUACUGACAUCUGACGGAGAGGAGAGCCCGGACAGCCAAGUAAAAGAAGCGCUGGUGGACCUGAUGCUGACGGUGGUGGAGAUGUGCCCCUCUGUCUGUGAGAGCAGCCACUUUGCAGUGCUUCUUGGGGCCUAUGGCGCCACUCUCAGCGUCCUAGAUCAGAAGAUUUUACUUCUGCUUCGAGUGUAUGAGCAGAACAAGCUCAGCCUCAUCAACUUCAGGGUGCUGCUGUGGGGCCCAGCAGCCGUGGAGCAUCACAAGACAUGCCGGAGCCUGGGCAGGUCACUGUGGCAGCAGCCGAGUGUCGGGGACAUCCUUCGCCUGCUGGACCGGGACCAGAUGAUGCAGACCAUCCUGCACUUCCCCCAGAACCGGAGGCUGCUGCCCCCCGAGGACACACAGGAGCUGAUAUUCAAAGACAAAAGCAGGGUGGAUCUUGAUGGCCUCUAUGACCCCUGCUUUCUCCUUCAGCUCUUCAGUGAGCUGACCAGGCCAGAGUUUGUGGUGGAUUGUCGAAAAUUUUUGGAUUCAAAUGCACUGGGCCUAACUGUCACAGCCCUCAGCAGCUAUGACCCCCAGAUGAGAGCCAUAGCCUACCAUGUCCUGGCAGCCUACUACUCGCACUUGGAGGGCGCACGGUUCCAAGAGCAGUCCCAGCUACUUUACCUGUUGGAUGUAGUCCGGAAUGGGAUUCGAACUCAGGACAUGAGACUCACUUUUACCUUGGCUCUCUUCAUUGCCAAAGCAGCCCUGCAGAUUUUGAAACCAGAGGAGCACAUGUACCUGAAGGUCAGCAACUUCCUGCUGUCGCAUGAGUACUUGAACAUGGACAAAGUGCCAGGCUUCUACCAGUUCUUCUACAGCUCCGACUUUGAGCAAAAAACAGAGCAGAAGUGGGUGUUUGGCCUUCUGCGGCAGGGGAUCCGUGACAAGCAGUGCUACGAACUGUGUGCCCGGCGUGGCAUCUUCCACAUCAUCCUGUCCUUCUUCCACAGCCCGCUGUGUGACGAGGCGGCACAGAAUUGGAUUCUGGAAAUUCUACAGAAUGCUGCCCAGGUUGCCAGAUCUGCCUAUGAAAUCAUACGAGACUAUAGCCUUUUAACAUGGAUUUUACACAUCCUUGAAAGCAAGUUUCUGGAGACUCCACUGCUGUCUAAUGUGAUCUCCUUGCUACACACACUGUGGGUGACCAACCUGGGGGACAAGGCAGUGGAGUGGGACAGCCAGCGCCCUUGCCAGCCUAGCUCCCAGGAGCCUGCCAAGCGGCUUGCCCUGCACCUGGUCAAUGAGUUCCUUUAUGUUCUUAUCGUGCUCAUGAAGCACCUGAGGCCCACCUUGGCCCCCGUCCAGCUGACCAACUUCUUCGGGACACUUGACUCCGUGCUGAGGUACCGGGCCACUGUCAUACAGGCCUUCAGGGACAUGAACAGAUUCACCGUAAAUGAGACAGUGCUUUCCACCAAGGACGUCCUUGUCCUCUUGCACAAGUGGAGCCUCAUUGAAAGAGACCUCAAGCUCCAGGAAGACCUGAGAGCAGCCAUUGAGAAGGCCCAAGCCCGGGAGCUCAUGAAAAUGCUCAAGGAUAAGAACAAGCCUGUCAUGCCAGCCCGAGCCAAAGGCCCACGGGGCCGAAAGAGGAGGCCUGGGGAGGCAGAGGAGAUGGCUGAUGCUGAGCUGAUGGCAUCUACCUUGGAGACAUGCAAGGGCCUCCUGAGGUCCAUCUUGACUUACUGGGGACCAGUGAUCCCUGGUCCUGACCCCACUCAGGAGCCUGUGGACUCAGCCAGCCCCGAGAGCGAUGCGCCAGGCCCCGUGUAUGCUGCUGCUUCCCUGGCAGUCAGUUGGGUGCUGCGGUCAGUGGCCGAGCACCCGCUCAGCAGGGCAGAGGCUGCAGGACUCAUUGGCUGGCUUAAGAGCCAUAUUUUGCCACACCCUGUGGUCGUGGCUGACCUCCUUAAGGAUGGUGCCGUGAGGAGCAGCAUAUUCAAGCUGUAUAGCCGGCUCUGUGGGGCUGAGGGGCUGGCAGGGCCUGCGCAGGAGGUGGCCUGCCUGUUCAAUACGGUCAUGCUGCAGCUGGUGGCCGCCCAGGGCCGGGCAGGGAGCCCCUUCCACCCGGCCAUGGAAGCCCUCUCCUUGUCUUCUCUGAGUGAGAAGGAUGAAGCCACACGAGCCUCUGCAGCAUUCCUGGUGUCUCUCUACAUAAAGGACAUCUGGCUGGGGGCCCAGCGGCCGGACACCCUCUUAACCCACGUCCGGAUGGUGUGUGAGGCCGCAGAUGAUGCCCCGAGCAGUGAAGAGGAGGCCAUCGUGGUGCUCUGCAAGGACACCGCCAGCGCAGCCUCAGAUGCUUGACUCCUGCCGGCCAGCACCUUGCGCCCUGAUGACCAGAGCCUCAAGCACAGCACCAGCUUCUAGAAGUUUGACCUUCUUCGGUGACAACCGCCUUCCCUGUGGCCCUAGAUGAGCACAAGGGCAGUCUGUGUGUGGGAUCCCUUCCCAUUCACGCUCCACCCUGCUCUUGACCAUGGUGAACUUGUAUGGAUUACAUCAAUAUGCUACAUGCCCUGUGGAUUCUGGCUGGAUAUGGUCAGUGGCGAGUUCCAGCAGGAAACUGGAGGGACAGAAGAGAGCGAGGUCAGAGAAUUUAAUCUCCUGCCUCCCUCCCUACGAGGUCACCCCAGCUGGUGACUGUGACCCUGGAUGGAAGGUGAUGGUCUCAAGGUGGUCUGCUCUUCACAACUCUCCUUCUUUCUGGUAACCUCGCCCAGCAUCCCUCUAGGUCGAGGGAGGGGUGGUGUUGGCCUCAUUGCUUUUAACCUGGAUUCCUGUACCAUCCCUCAUGGUUCUCUCCUACAAACCUUUGCAAAGAAUCCCUCCCCACACUAGCAGAAUUUUAGUGCAUGCUCUCUGUGUUCUUCUAAGGCCCUCUUAGGGAAUAGACAAUUCUGUAGGCACUUUCAUUGCAAACAGAAUCCCAGUGAAGAAAUGGUAGCGUCAGUCCAAGAUACUAAUCAACAUGGCAAUCUUCACUACAGGAUGAGAACUGUUUUCCCUUUGCCCCAGGUAGGACAUAGGCCACCUCAGCCUUCCCGGCCUCAGGUAGGGAAGGGGCUGUGGCUGGCCCUGCUCUUUCCCACCUCACCUGUUCCCUGCGGUUUUCAUUUCUGCCUAGCCUGAGAUGGGGAAAGUGGGGGAUAGGACAGUUUUCACUUUGAUAUGGUUUGGCUCUGUGUUCCCACCCAAAUCUCAUCUUGAAUUGCAAUCUCCAUGUGUUGAGGGAGGGGCAUGGUGGGAGUAACUGGAUCAUGGGGGCAGUUCCCCCAGGCUGUUCUCAUGAUAGCGAGUUCUCACGAGAUCUGGUGGUUUUAAAGUGUGGCACCUCCCCUUGGCUUGCUCUCUCUCUCUCCUGCUGCCACGUAAGACGUGCUUUGCUUCCCCUUUGUCUUCCGCCAUGAUUGCAAGUUUCCUGAGGCCUCCCCAGCCAUGCAGAACUGUGAGUCAGUUAAACCUCUUUCCUUUAUAAGUUACCCAGUCUCAAGUAGUUCUUUAUAGCAGCAUGAGAACGGACUAAUACACACUUGAACUUGUUCUAACUUUGUUUUGCACUCUUAGGUAAGAUCUAGUUAGACCUGACCCUUUCUCCUAGCCCCCUCGGGGACUCCCUGCACCUCCCAAAUCCCAGGUGCAUGCCCAUGACCCACUGGGCAAGGCCUCAUCUCAGGCUGGCUCUCCCUCUGCCCUGGUUCUCCAGGAGUGCUGUUCACACUUGACUCACCACUGGGGAGUCUUCAUGCUUCCAGGUUAGCUCCUUAGGCAGAAAUUAAGACUCUAGGUGACAUCCUGCCAGCAAAGUUCAGAUCUGGCUGACAACCUACCUUGUUUGCCUUUGUUGUGCUACCAAAACACACGCAGCUUAACGCUCCUGCAGGUCACCCCGUCCCCAAGUGCCUGGGAACCAACAGGUACGUAAGUGUCUCCUCAAAGUCUCUUAUCAGCCAAAUUGAGGCAAGGAGGCAGAUACCCUCAUCUUCUCUAUUGGGGAGGGGCCCAUCUCCAAAGAGAUCCUUCCAGUGAAGUCAUCUUGGUCACCAUUUUCUCCCUUCCUUUAUAUUCCCAAAGUGUGUGAGAGAGGUGUUUAAGAGAAGGAGGAAAUCAGCUAGGCAUGGUGGCCCAUGCCUGUAAUCCCAGCACUUUGGGAGGUCGAGGUGGGUGGAUUACCUGAGGUCAGGAGUUCAAGACCAGCCUGGUCAACAUGGUAAAGCCCCGUCUCUACUAAAAAUACAAAGAUUAGCUGGGUGUGGUGGCGGGUGCCUGUAAUCCCAGCUACUCGGGAGGCUGAGGUGGGAGAAUCCCUUGAACCUGGGAGGUGGAGGUUGCAGUGAGCCAAGAUCAUGUCACUGCACUCCAGCCUGAGUGACAGAGUGAGACUCC
RNA transcript from Pan troglodytes (chimpanzee), 9002 nucleotides. It is a transcript of the gene named URB1 ribosome biogenesis homolog, with no coding region annotated. The record is from RefSeq and is a predicted model, not a curated record. The transcript is spliced from 40 exons. NCBI's taxonomy places the organism in Eukaryota, Metazoa, Chordata, Mammalia, Primates, Hominidae.